Thalassophryne amazonica is the source of this 298-nucleotide long non-coding RNA. RefSeq lists it as uncharacterized. The record is from RefSeq and is a predicted model, not a curated record. NCBI's taxonomy places the organism in Eukaryota, Metazoa, Chordata, Actinopteri, Batrachoidiformes, Batrachoididae. The transcript is spliced from 4 exons.
CUUAAUUGAGGAUUAUUUUCAGUGUGUAAUGAGUGGACAGAAUUAGACUGCACCGGCGAAGCUGCACCUGAGGAACUCGAGGAUCACUCUAUGGUAGCUCAUGAGGGUUUUCUGUACGUGUUUGGAGGCAUGCUGGAUUCGGCAUAUUCUAAAUGGAGAUGUCCCCUCUGGGUAUUUGACAUUGCAAAGCAGAAAUGGUUGCACUGGCAGGGAAAGAUGACCUCAUCCCAGCACCAAAUGCCAACCAACAGGAAGGGGCACAGCGCUGUGGUACUGGGUUCCAAGAUGCUUGUCUAUG